GGUCCAUGAAUGGCCUAUCGACUCCUAUUUCUGGAGAUGCGUCGAUGUAAUAAGCAUUAUAUCAUUUUUGAGCAGCGACUCAAAAUAUAUGUUUGUGUACAUAUGCCUAACAGCAUUUGGUUUCACAUAUUGAUUCAUACCUCUCAUUUGAAAUUGGCAGGAUCCUGAAGAGCAAAUCGGCGUCGUAGACACGCAGUACGUGGUCCAUCGUGCAGUUCCCACGCUCCAAGGCGAGGGCAAUAAAGAAAAACCAGGAGGCCGUUUUGAGGUAAGAGCUCGUCAAUUUGAGGAGCUGGAGGCCUUUAACUCUAGGUUCGCCAAUGCCGACAAGGAAGUCGCCAACAGAUCGCCGUCGACACUGAAUUAGUUUAGAUAACUUAAUACAAGAGGAUAAACCAUUGUUUGCAAAAUUUUGAAGUAUGUAAUUACUAUUUUCAUC
Molecule: long non-coding RNA, 439 nt
Organism: Triticum aestivum (bread wheat)
Lineage: Eukaryota; Viridiplantae; Streptophyta; Magnoliopsida; Poales; Poaceae
Exons: 3
Source: RefSeq, a predicted model, not a curated record